RNAcentral lists this ribosomal RNA (957 nucleotides) under uncultured beta proteobacterium. RNAcentral describes it as "bacterial SSU rRNA". It matches the Rfam family "Bacterial small subunit ribosomal RNA", at positions 8 to 967 of the family's 1533-position model. Lineage: Bacteria; Pseudomonadati; Pseudomonadota; Betaproteobacteria. The record is from RNAcentral.
AGAGUUUGAUCCUGGCUCAGAUUGAACGCUGAUGCUUUACACUGCAAGUCGAACGGUAACAGGCCUUCGGGCGCUGACGAGUGGCGAACGGGUGAGUAAUGUAUCGGAACGUACCUUUCAGUGGGGGAUAACGUAGCGAAAGUUACGCUAAUACCGCAUAUUCUGUGAGCAGGAAAGCAGGGGAUCGCAAGACCUUGCGCUGAUUGAGCGGCCGAUAUCAGAUUAGCUAGUUGGUGAGGUAAAGGCUCACCAAGGCGACGAUCUGUAGCGGGUCUGAGAGGAUGAUCCGCCACACUGGAACUGACACGGUCCAGACUCCUACGGGAGGCAGCAGUGGGGAAUUUUGGACAAUGGGGGCAACCCUGAUCCAGCCAUGCCGCGUGAGUGAAGAAGGCCUUCGGGUUGUAAAGCUCUUUCGGCCGGGAAGAAAUCGUACGGGUUAAUACCCUGUGCGGAUGACGGUACCGGCAUAAGAAGCACCGGCUAACUACGUGCCAGCAGCCGCGGUAAUACGUAGGGUGCGAGCGUUAAUCGGAAUUACUGGGCGUAAAGCGUGCGCAGGCGGUUUUGUAAGACAGGCGUGAAAUCCCCGGGCUCAACCUGGGAACUGCGCUUGUGACUGCAAGGCUAGAGUAUGGCAGAGGGGGGUGGAAUUCCACGUGUAGCAGUGAAAUGCGUAGAGAUGUGGAGGAACACCAAUGGCGAAGGCAGCCCCCUGGGCCAAUACUGACGCUCAUGCACGAAAGCGUGGGUAGCAAACAGGAUUAGAUACCCUGGUAGUCCACGCCCUAAACGAUGUCAACUAGGUGUUGGGUGGGUAAAACCAUUUAGUACCGUAGCUAACGCGUGAAGUUGACCGCCUGGGGAGUACGGGCCGCAAGGGUUAAAACUCAAAGGAAUUGACGGGGACCCGCACAAGCGGUGGAUGAUGUGGAUUAAUUCGAUGCAACGCGAAAA